ACGGGUGAGUAAUAUAUCGGAACGUACCUUUGAGUGGGGGAUAACUAGUCGAAAGAUUAGCUAAUACCGCAUACGAUCUACGGAUGAAAGUGGGGGCUCGCAAGACCUCAUGCUCAUAGAGCGGCCGAUAUCUGAUUAGCUAGUUGGUGAGGUAAAGGCUCACCAAGGCAUCGAUCAGUAGCUGGUCUGAGAGGACGACCAGCCACACUGGGACUGAGACACGGCCCAGACUCCUACGGGAGGCAGCAGUGGGGAAUUUUGGACAAUGGGGGCAACCCUGAUCCAGCAAUGCCGCGUGAGUGAAGAAGGCCUUCGGGUUGUAAAGCUCUUUUGUCAGGGAAGAAACGGGAUGUUCUAAUACAGCGUCCUAAUGACGGUACCUGAAGAAUAAGCACCGGCUAACUACGUGCCAGCAGCCGCGGUAAUACGUAGGGUGCAAGCGUUAAUCGGAAUUACUGGGCGUAAAGCGUGCGCAGGCGGUUGUGUAAGACAGGUGUGAAAUCCCCGGGCUUAACCUGGGAAUGGCAUUUGUGACUGCACGGCUAGAGUGUGUCAGAGGGGGGUAGAAUUCCACGUGUAGCAGUGA
RNAcentral lists this ribosomal RNA (586 nucleotides) under uncultured Collimonas sp. Its description in RNAcentral is "bacterial SSU rRNA". It matches the Rfam family "Bacterial small subunit ribosomal RNA", at positions 102 to 684 of the family's 1533-position model. The record is from RNAcentral. Lineage: Bacteria; Pseudomonadati; Pseudomonadota; Betaproteobacteria; Burkholderiales; Oxalobacteraceae.